RNAcentral lists this ribosomal RNA (565 nucleotides) under uncultured bacterium. RNAcentral's name for it is "partial 16S ribosomal RNA". It matches the Rfam family "Bacterial small subunit ribosomal RNA", at positions 355 to 912 of the family's 1533-position model. The record is from RNAcentral.
UGGGGAAUUUUGGACAAUGGGCGAAAGCCUGAUCCAGCAAUGCCGCGUGUGUGAAGAAGGCCUUCGGGUUGUAAAGCACUUUUGUCCGGAAAGAAAUCCUUGGCUCUAAUACAGUCGGGGGAUGACGGUACCGGAAGAAUAAGCACCGGCUAACUACGUGCCAGCAGCCGCGGUAAUACGUAGGGUGCAAGCGUUAAUCGGAAUUACUGGGCGUAAAGCGUGCGCAGGCGGUUUGCUAAGACCGAUGUGAAAUCCCCGGGCUCAACCUGGGAACUGCAUUGGUGACUGGCAGGCUAGAGUAUGGCAGAGGGGGGUAGAAUUCCACGUGUAGCAGUGAAAUGCGUAGAGAUGUGGAGGAAUACCGAUGGCGAAGGCAGCCCCCUGGGCCAAUACUGACGCUCAUGCACGAAAGCGUGGGGAGCAAACAGGAUUAGAUACCCUGGUAGUCCACGCCCUAAAACGAUGUCAACUAGUUGUUGGGGAUUCAUUUCCUUAGUAACGUAGCUAACGCGUGAAGUUGACCGCCUGGGGAGUACGGUCGCAAGAUUAAAACUCAAAGGAAUUG